GAUUAGCCUGCGUCCGAUUAGCUAGUUGGUAGGGUAAGGGCCUACCAAGGCGACGAUCGGUAGCUGGUCUGAGAGGAUGGCCAGCCACACUGGGACUGAGACACGGCCCAGACUCUUACGGGAGGCAGCAGUGGGGAAUAUUGGACAAUGGGGGGAACCCUGAUCCAGCAAUGCCGCGUGUGUGAAGAAGGCCUGAGGGUUGUAAAGCACUUUCAGUGGGGAGGAAAGGUGAAUGGUUAAGAGCUGUUUACUGUGACGUUACCCACAGAAGAAGCACCGGCUAACUCCGUGCCAGCAGCCGCGGUAAUACGGAGGGUGCGAGCGUUAAUCGGAAUUACUGGGCGUAAAGGGUGCGUAGGUGGUUUAAUAAGUUAUGUGUAAAAUCCCUGGGCUCAACCUAGGAAGGUCAGAUAAGACUGUUAGACUCGAGUAUAGGAGAGGGUAGUGGAAUUUCCGGUGUAGCGGUGAAAUGCGUAGAGAUCGGAAGGAACACCGGUGGCGAAGGCGGCUACCUGGCCGGAUACUGACACUGAAGCACGAAAGCGUGGGGAGCAAACAGGAUUAGAUACCCUGGUAGUCCACGCUGUAAACGAUGUCAACUAGCUGUUGG
Molecule: ribosomal RNA, 610 nt
Filed under: uncultured bacterium
Lineage: Bacteria
Description: bacterial SSU rRNA
Rfam family: Bacterial small subunit ribosomal RNA
Source: RNAcentral